ACGGAGGAUGCGAGCGUUAUCCGGAUUCAUUGGGCUUAAAGGGCGCGUAGGCGGACUAUUAAGUCAGUGGUGAAAUCCUGCAGCUCAACUGCAGAACAGCCAUUGAUACUGAUAGUCUUGAGUAUGUUUAAGGUAGGCGGAAUGUGUAAUGUAGCGGUGAAAUGCUUAGAUAUUACGCGGAACACCAAUUGCGAAGGCAGCUUACUGGGACGAUACUGACGCUGAUGCGCGAAAGCGAGGGCAUCGAACGG
Molecule: ribosomal RNA, 251 nt
Filed under: uncultured prokaryote
Description: partial 16S rRNA
Rfam family: Bacterial small subunit ribosomal RNA
Source: RNAcentral